This 774-nucleotide ribosomal RNA is filed under the name uncultured Neocallimastigales. RNAcentral's name for it is "partial large subunit ribosomal RNA". It matches the Rfam family "Eukaryotic large subunit ribosomal RNA", at positions 24 to 631 of the family's 3401-position model. Lineage: Eukaryota; Fungi; Neocallimastigomycota; Neocallimastigomycetes; Neocallimastigales. The record is from RNAcentral.
UAUGUGAUCGUCUCUCGCAUAUCAAUAAGCGGAGGAAAAGAAACUAACAAGGAUUCCCCUAGUAACGGCGAGUGAAGCGGGAAGAGCUCAAAUUUGAAAUCUUAAAGGGUUUCCCUUUACGAAUUGUAGUUUAAAGAAGUGUUUUCUGUUGAGGUUUUGGUAAAAGUUCUUUGGAAUAGGACAUCAUAGAGGGUGAGAAUCCCGUAUUUGACCUUUACUUUCAACUUUGUGAUACACUUUCAAAGAGUCGGAUUGUUUGGGAAUGCAGUCCAAAAUGGGUGGUAAAUUUCAUCUAAAGCUAAAUAUUGGCGAGAGACCGAUAGCGAACAAGUACCGUGAGGGAAAGAUGAAAAGAACUUUGAAAAGAGGGUUAAACAGUACGUGAAAUUGUCAAAAGGGAAGCGUUUGACACCAGUGUUGUUUUUCUGAAAAUCAAUUAAAGAACUGUUUAUGCUAAGUUGUUUAGACUUUAUCAGCUAACUGUUUAGUUUUGAGCUUUUCUUUAAUGCACUUUUCAGUUAACAAGUCAACAUCAAUUUCUUUUGCUGUAAAAAAGCUUGAGGAAGGUGGCUUGAGAUUCGUCUUAAGUGUUUAUAGCCUCUUGCCUAUGCAGUCGGAGAGAUUGAGGUCUGCAGCGUAGAUCCUUCGGGGCUAAAUGCAUUUGUGCUAAGUUAUAGCAUUUUAUAGACAACUUGUUGACUAUGAUUUGUCUUGUAGCUUACUCGCUUAUGUUAUUUUACCUACGCUUAGGAUGUUGAUCUACAGAGCGAGAGU